GGAGAGGUCGCAUAGUGGCCUAGUGCACACGCUUGGAAAGCGUGCGUCGCCGAGAGGUGACCGAGGGUUCAAAUCCCUCCCUCUCCGCCA
This 90-nucleotide transfer RNA is filed under the name Candidatus Levyibacteriota bacterium. Its description in RNAcentral is "tRNA-Ser". It matches the Rfam family "tRNA". From Rfam's summary of the family: Transfer RNA (tRNA) molecules are approximately 80 nucleotides in length. Their secondary structure includes four short double-helical elements and three loops (D, anti-codon, and T loops). Lineage: Bacteria; Candidatus Levyibacteriota. The record is from RNAcentral.